UUAAGCGACUAAGCGUACACGGUGGAUGCCCUGGCAGUCAGAGGCGAUGAAGGACGUGCUAAUCUGCGAAAAGCGCCGGCGAGGUGAUAUGAACCUUUGACCCGGCGAUGUCCGAAUGGGGAAACCCAGUGUGUUCCGACACACUAUCGUUAACUGAAUACAUAGGUUAACGAGGCGAACCGGGGGAACUGAAACAUCUAAGUACCCCGAGGAAAAGAAAUCAACCGAGAUUCCCCCAGUAGCGGCGAGCGAACGGGGAGCAGCCCAGAGUCUGAAUCAGCUUGUGUGUUAGUGGAAGCGUCUGGAAAGUCGCACGGUACAGGGUGAAAGUCCCGUACACGAAAGCACACAGGUUGUGAACUCGAAGAGUAGGGCGGGACACGUGGUAUCCUGUCUGAAUAUGGGGGGACCAUCCUCCAAGGCUAAAUACUCCUGACUGACCGAUAGUGAACCAGUACCGUGAGGGAAAGGCGAAAAGAACCCCGGCGAGGGGAGUGAAAAAGAACCUGAAACCGUGUACGUACAAGCAGUGGGAGCCUCUUUUAUGGGGUGACUGCGUACCUUUUGUAUAAUGGGUCAGCGACUUAUAUUCUGUAGCAAGGUUAACCGUAUAGGGGAGCCGAAGGGAAACCGAGUCUUAACUGGGCGUUAAGUUGCAGGGUAUAGACCCGAAACCCGGUGAUCUAGCCAUGGGCAGGUUGAAGGUUGGGUAACACUAACUGGAGGACCGAACCGACUAAUGUUGAAAAAUUAGCGGAUGACUUGUGGCUGGGGGUGAAAGGCCAAUCAAACCGGGAGAUAGCUGGUUCUCCCCGAAAGCUAUUUAGGUAGCGCCUCGUGAACUCAUCUUCGGGGGUAGAGCACUGUUUCGGCUAGGGGGCCAUCCCGGCUUACCAACCCGAUGCAAACUACGAAUACCGAAGAAUGUUAUCACGGGAGACACACGGCGGGUGCUAACGUCCGUCGUGAAGAGGGAAACAACCCAGACCGCCAGCUAAGGUCCCAAAGUCAUGGUUAAGUGGGAAACGAUGUGGGAAGGCACAGACAGCCAGGAUGUUGGCUUAGAAGCAGCCAUCAUUUAAAGAAAGCGUAAUAGCUCACUGGUCGAGUCGGCCUGCGCGGAAGAUGUAACGGGGCUAAACCAUGCACCGAAGCUGCGGCAGCGACACUAUGUGUUGUUGGGUAGGGGAGCGUUCUGUAAGCCGUUGAAGGUGUCCUGUGAGGGGUGCUGGAGGUAUCAGAAGUGCGAAUGCUGACAUAAGUAACGAUAAAGCGGGUGAAAAGCCCGCUCGCCGGAAGACCAAGGGUUCCUGUCCAACGUUAAUCGGGGCAGGGUGAGUCGACCCCUAAGGCGAGGCCGAAAGGCGUAGUCGAUGGGAAACAGGUUAAUAUUCCUGUACUUGGUGUUACUGCGAAGGGGGGACGGAGAAGGCUAUGUUAGCCGGGCGACGGUUGUCCCGGUUUAAGCAUGUAGGCGGAACGAUUAGGUAAAUCCGGUCGUUUAUUAACGCUGAGGUGUGAUGACGAGGCACUACGGUGCUGAAGUAACAAAUGCCCUGCUUCCAGGAAAAGCCUCUAAGCAUCAGGUAACAUCAAAUCGUACCCCAAACCGACACAGGUGGUCAGGUAGAGAAUACCAAGGCGCUUGAGAGAACUCGGGUGAAGGAACUAGGCAAAAUGGUGCCGUAACUUCGGGAGAAGGCACGCUGAUAUGUAGGUGAAGCCCCUGCGGGUGGAGCUGAAAUCAGUCGAAGAUACCAGCUGGCUGCAACUGUUUAUUAAAAACACAGCACUGUGCAAACACGAAAGUGGACGUAUACGGUGUGACGCCUGCCCGGUGCCGGAAGGUUAAUUGAUGGGGUUAGCGGUAACGCGAAGCUCUUGAUCGAAGCCCCGGUAAACGGCGGCCGUAACUAUAACGGUCCUAAGGUAGCGAAAUUCCUUGUCGGGUAAGUUCCGACCUGCACGAAUGGCGUAAUGAUGGCCAGGCUGUCUCCACCCGAGACUCAGUGAAAUUGAACUCGCUGUGAAGAUGCAGUGUACCCGCGGCAAGACGGAAAGACCCCGUGAACCUUUACUAUAGCUUGACACUGAACACUGGUCCUUGAUGUGUAGGAUAGGUGGGAGGCUUUGAAGCGUGGACGCCAGUCUGCGUGGAGCCAACCUUGAAAUACCACCCUUUAAUGGCUGGUGUUCUAACGUAGACCCGUAAUCCGGGUUGCGGACAGUGUCUGGUGGGUAGUUUGACUGGGGCGGUCUCCUCCCAAAGAGUAACGGAGGAGCACGAAGGUUAGCUAAUCCUGGUCGGACAUCAGGAGGUUAGUGCAAUGGCAUAAGCUAGCUUGACUGCGAGAGUGACGGCUCGAGCAGGUGCGAAAGCAGGUCAUAGUGAUCCGGUGGUUCUGAAUGGAAGGGCCAUCGCUCAACGGAUAAAAGGUACUCCGGGGAUAACAGGCUGAUACCGCCCAAGAGUUCAUAUCGACGGCGGUGUUUGGCACCUCGAUGUCGGCUCAUCACAUCCUGGGGCUGAAGUAGGUCCCAAGGGUAUGGCUGUUCGCCAUUUAAAGUGGUACGCGAGCUGGGUUUAGAACGUCGUGAGACAGUUCGGUCCCUAUCUGCCGUGGGCGCUGGAGAAUUGAGGGGGGCUGCUCCUAGUACGAGAGGACCGGAGUGGACGCAUCACUGGUGUUCGGGUUGUCAUGCCAAUGGCACUGCCCGGUAGCUAAAUGCGGAAGAGAUAAGUGCUGAAAGCAUCUAAGCACGAAACUUGCCCCGAGAUGAGUUCUCCCUGAGACUUUAAGUCUCCUGAAGGAACGUUGAAGACUACGACGUUGAUAGGUCGGGUGUGUAAGCGCAGCGAUGCGUUGAGCUAACCGAUACUAAUGAACCGUGAGGCUUAACCUU
Molecule: ribosomal RNA, 2904 nt
Filed under: Enterobacter cloacae
Lineage: Bacteria; Pseudomonadati; Pseudomonadota; Gammaproteobacteria; Enterobacterales; Enterobacteriaceae
Description: bacterial LSU rRNA
Rfam family: Bacterial large subunit ribosomal RNA
Source: RNAcentral